AGCAGCCGCGGUAAUUCCAGCUCCAAUAGCGUAUAUUAAAGUUGUUGCAGUUAAAAAGCUCGUAGUUGAAUUUCGGGGUUAGUAGGUUGGUCAUGCCUCUGGUAUGUACUGGUCUCACUGAUUCCUCCUUCCUGAUGAGCCGUAAUGCCAUUAAUUUGGUGUUGCGGGGAAUUUGGACUGUUACUUUGAAAAAUUGAGUGUUUAAAGCAAGCUAACGCUUGAAUACAUUAGCAUGGAAUAAUGAAAUAGGACGUUCGAUCCUAUUUUGUUGGUUUCUAGGAUUGACGUAAUGAUUAAUAGGGAUAGUUGGGGGCAUUAGUAUUCAAUUGUCAGAGGUGAAAUUCUUGGAUUUAUUGAAGACUAACUACUGCGAAAGCAUUUGCCAAGGAUGUUUUCAUUAAUCAAGAACGAAAGUUAGGGGAUCGAAGACGAUCAGAUACCGUCGUAGUCUUAACCAUAAACUAUGCCGACUAGGGAUCGGAUGAUGUUAAUUUUUAAUGACUCAUUCGGCGUACCCG
Molecule: unclassified non-coding RNA, 518 nt
Filed under: uncultured Glomus
Lineage: Eukaryota; Fungi; Glomeromycota; Glomeromycetes; Glomerales; Glomeraceae
Description: SSU rRNA
Rfam family: Eukaryotic small subunit ribosomal RNA
Source: RNAcentral